GGCCAGGCUGAACGGUUUGGGCGCGAGCUCAAGACUGUUCUGGCCGGGUCUUUCCUUCUGGGGAACUAGGGUGCUAUUUGGUUAGUGCCUUAGGGAAACCAGGACAGUUACUUUGAAAAAAUUAGAGUGUUUAAAACAGGCUUACGCUUGAAUACAUUAGCAUGGAAUAACGGAAUAGGACUUUGUUUCUAUUUUGUUGGUUUUAAGGAACAAAGUA
RNAcentral lists this ribosomal RNA (217 nucleotides) under uncultured fungus. RNAcentral describes it as "partial small subunit ribosomal RNA". The stretch from base 49 to 217 matches the Rfam family "Eukaryotic small subunit ribosomal RNA", at positions 693 to 864 of the family's 1831-position model. Lineage: Eukaryota; Fungi. The record is from RNAcentral.